UGAAACCCUGUGGGACCAGGGAGACAACCCACAGUUCCAACAGUCACUGGAUCCAUUCAUGGCUGGGUAAUACAGUAGGUGGAUAUUUGAUUUUAUAAGAAACUGCCAGCCCUGGCCCUGGAUCCCAUAGCCGCCGAGAUGUUGAUGCCUAAGAAGAACUGGGUUGCCAUUUAUGAACUCCUUUUUAAGGAGAGUCAUGGUGGCCAAGAAGGAUGUCCACAUGUCUAAGCACCCAGAGCUGGCAGACAAGAAUGUGCCCCAUCCUUCACAUCAUGAAGGCCAUGCAGUCUCUCAAGUCCCGAGGCUGCAUGAAGGAAGAGUUUGCCUGGAGACAUUUCUACUGGAACCUUAUCAAUGAGGGUAUCCAGUAUCUCCAUGAUUACCUUCAUCGGCCCCUGGAGUCUAUGCCUGUCACUCUACGCCACAGCCAUCCAGAGACUGGCGGGCCUCAGCCUAAAGGUCUGGAGGGUUAGUGAUCUGGAAGACUCACAAGAGGGGAAGCCAACAGGGAUACCUACAGACAGAAUGCUGUGCCCCCUGGUGCCGACAAGAAAGCCAAGGUUGGGGCUGUGUCAGCAACUGAAUUCCAAUUUAGAGGUGGAUUUAGUCAUGGAUGUGGUCAUCUACCCCAGUAAAAUUGGAGAGGAUUAUUUUGCAUUGAAUAAACUUACAGCCAAAAAAAAAAAAGAAAG
This 692-nucleotide small RNA is filed under the name Pongo abelii (Sumatran orangutan). RNAcentral describes it as "processed transcript". The record is from RNAcentral. Lineage: Eukaryota; Metazoa; Chordata; Mammalia; Primates; Hominidae.